Molecule: ribosomal RNA, 254 nt
Filed under: uncultured bacterium
Lineage: Bacteria
Description: partial 16S ribosomal RNA
Rfam family: Bacterial small subunit ribosomal RNA
Source: RNAcentral
UACGAAGGGGGCUAGCGUUGUUCGGAAUUACUGGGCGUAAAGGGCGCGUAGGCGGUGAUCUUUGUCAGAGGUGAAAGCCCGGGGCUCAACUCCGGAAUUGCCUUUGAAACGGGAUUGCUUGAGUCCGAGAGAGGAUGGCGGAAUUCCUAGUGUAGAGGUGAAAUUCGUAGAUAUUAGGAAGAACACCGGUGGCGAAGGCGGCCAUCUGGCUCGGUACUGACGCGUGAUGCGCGAAAGCGUGGGGAGCAACAGGG